UACGGAGGGUGCAAGCGUUGUUCGGAAUUAUUGGGCGUAAAGGGCGUGUAGGCGGGUAUGUAGGUCAGGUGUGAAAUCCCUCGGCUCAACCGAGGAAGUGCAUCUGAAACCGCGUAUCUUGAGUACGAGAGAGGCAGAUGGAAUUCCCAGUGUAGAGGUGAAAUUCAUAGAUAUUGGGAAGAACACCGGUGGCGAAAGCGGUCUGCUGGCUCGAUACUGACGCUGAGACGCGAAAGCGUGGGGAGCAAACAGGAUUAGAUACCCUGGUAGUCCACGCCGUAAACGAUGUGCACUAGGUGUUGGGGGUAAUUAAACCCUCAGUGCCGCAGCUAACGCAUUAAGUGCACCGCCUGGGGAUUACGGUCGCAAGACUAAA
Molecule: ribosomal RNA, 376 nt
Filed under: uncultured bacterium
Lineage: Bacteria
Description: bacterial SSU rRNA
Rfam family: Bacterial small subunit ribosomal RNA
Source: RNAcentral